GGAUGACAGUAGCUCUUCAAGUGGUUAUGGUAGAGUUCUUGAAGAGAUUUGCCACUACAGAAAGGCUGAACUGGGUACAAUGGGUUUCAUGCAUUGGAAUUGCUGCACUGUCAUGGCCAAUUGGUUGGUUUGUCAAAUGCAUCCCUUCUGAACGGCUCCCUUCUCUUCCAUUUAGAACUACAUUUUAAGAAGUGGAAUCUUAGAUCAACUGGGUGGAGGGAGGUCAAUCUUUAUACGUACAUGUCAUGCCAGAGACCACAAGCAUCAAGAAAGUUAAAACAGAAAUUAUUAAUCAAAUGAGGCCCUGAAGUAUUAAGUUUCAAAUGUCAGCCUUUCAGAAAGCAUGAAAUAGGUCUACAAGUAUGCAAUUAAAAGUUAUCAAUGUACUUCAGUUUUUACAGAUAAUUUUAUUUUCCUUUUCGCUCCUCUUUGUUAUCAUUAAAAGAUGUGUUUUUGCAAGUUUCACCAAAAUACACAUCAAGUAUUUUAUUUUGCAUGCUUUCAGAUUUGACAUGACUUUCUGGUUUCUUGGUUCACUUACACAUAUAUCCACAAAUUUUAAAGCACCACUUGAUGAUUUUCAUAACUUCUCAUCCUCUGUCCACCAAUGACUAGCUACUCGAAGGAAUUUCAUUAAGAAUGUAUGAGGACCAAACCAUCCUAAUCAAGAUUGACAAUUAUUUCAAGUAGGAAAUGUAGUGGCAUCAGACCAGCCUAGUUGAGCAUUCUAAGUUACUUCAGAUGAGGAUUAAGAAGCUACAGGUUUUAUUCUUCACCACUUUUUGAUUUAGAUCACUGAGCUCCCAUCCUUCAAAAUCACCAUUAACUUCACCUAGUAAAAACAUGUCUUGAUAUGAUGCAUUCUAGUUUUUGCAUUCUAGUAUUUCCAUUACUUUGACCAUAAUGGUAUUGCUCUAAGCCAUAAUGAUAAAAUGAUUCCUCUGUUGUCCAUCAUUAAAAGAAAAUGUGUGAAUUGAACUCCCUUCCCCAAUAAAGUGCCUAAUAGCAGCUAAAGUGUCAGAUAGCUACCUCUUUUGCUGAAAAUUAUGCAAACACACCAGGCUUUCUACAUGUCAAAUCCCUUCCAAUUUCACGAACUGUGAAUGGUUUGUACUCGAAAUGAAAAUCUGUAUGCUAGCCAGCAUGCAGAGAAUCCAUCCCCCUUCCUUUGACCUGUCUACCCCGAUUGUCUUGGCCAACAGAAUUCAAAGCCAUCAAAAUUGUAAGCCAUGUAAAGAUUUACAUACUCUUAAAAAAAAAGACAUUCAUCUAAUGGAAGCAUAGCAAAUUUUGGAAGCUAAUACCACUCCAAAUUAUACCUAAACCUCUAAUUCAGAUUUGUAUGUUCCUUAAUUUUUUAAAAAAAAACAGAGAGAGAGAGAGAAGUAGCAAGUGCAGCAGUCCUUGUGCCAUUUCUGCUUCCCACACUCAAGCACGGCAAGAAACAUUCUAAUUAAAUCCUCUAUGUUUAAUCUCUUUCUGUAUGCACUUGAAAGCUAGACAUCAGAAAACUGAAGAAACUACAUAUAUCAUUAAAACAAAAGCACUACUGACAUAGGGGACCAAAACAAGCUAGUUUGACCACCUCUAAGAAGCUUGAUCCUCUACAAAUAUCCCUUAAGCAAACAUUUCCAAUUUAGUAAGCCUUCUCUCAAAUCCCUAAAUCAACAUUCUAGAUGCUAAUUUUGCAUGCAAGGAAGAACUAAAAUUCUCCAAACAAAACAAUCCAGAAAUUUCAUAUUUUAUUUUCCCAAACCCGUGCCCUUAAAACAAUAAAUUUGUUUUUAACACUCAAAGGGGUUAUUUUAAGAUCCCUUCAAGCUGAAUCUUUCAAUACACAUACAUACAAAAAGAAAAUCCAUGACCAUAAUGUAAGUUCCCAACUCAAUCUCCACAAUCGCUUUCAAAAGUCAUAGACUUGGAAAUAAUCACUCAAAUAUCAGCAAAUUUUACUCCUAAAAAUCAUUAUAAACACAUAAAAAAUAUUUUACUGUUUAGUGAAUUCUCCAGUCAUCUUCAUGGCAUACUUUUGCGGCUAACUUUCCAAUUUGUUUAAUUGCAUUGGAAAACCAGAUUGUUUUGCUUAAAGGAAAAGAACAAGAACCCCGUAUCAAACAAUUAUAACAGAACAAAUAAAUGAAGAGAUAACAACAAAAACUGAACAGAGAUAACUGAUAACAAACAUUGCCCGUAUGAAGAUAGAUAUAGUACAUGAACAUGAAAUCAAUAAGGAAGAAAAGGAAAAAGGGAGAAAUUAGCGUGAGGCCUUACUUGGCUGCUGUUCAAAGAAUGGAAACCAAAUGUGAUAACAUCCCAAGGUUCCUUAUUGCCUUCUUCGAC
Molecule: long non-coding RNA, 2340 nt
Filed under: Coffea arabica (coffee)
Lineage: Eukaryota; Viridiplantae; Streptophyta; Magnoliopsida; Gentianales; Rubiaceae
Description: long non-coding RNA (CARA_LNC001931)
Source: RNAcentral